Phyllopteryx taeniolatus (common seadragon) is the source of this 774-nucleotide long non-coding RNA. RefSeq lists it as uncharacterized. Lineage: Eukaryota; Metazoa; Chordata; Actinopteri; Syngnathiformes; Syngnathidae. The transcript is spliced from 5 exons. The record is from RefSeq and is a predicted model, not a curated record.
UCACCGGAGUUCUCAAAGUCUUUGUAGGAGGAUGCCCAUGACUCGGCCAUGCCCAGCAUCGUGUUCUCCAUGAUCUGGAUGUCAGUGAUGGGACAGUUGCACUGGGGAUACUCGUCUGCACACUGGCAGAUGCACUGGUUGUUGCGGCACAGGCACUCGGUUAUUUGUCUAAAGGACAUGCUUGAAAGCCUUCCAAUGUUCAACAUGAGUUGUCACUUUUGUACUGGCUCGCCCUCAGCAUGACAGCCUUCAGUCGAGAUUGAUGCCUCCCAUCCAAAAAAGUUCUGGGACAAACACUAUCAUUACCAGUCUGUCUGACAGUGAGAGUCAAAGCAAACCCUGUUCGGCCUGGAAGCUGGUGCUCAGUACUCCAUGAGAGCUGAGUGGAGGAGGAGGAAGACGACAGGGGAGCAGGGGAGGAUCAGCGAGCAGCACAAUUCUCACAAGAACUCAAAUAAAUGAUCGUCAGGGCAUAAAGGAAGGUGCUUUAGCACCACCAGGGGUCUAUCCACGCACGUGCCUACACCAGUAUCAAACAUUGAUAUUGCAAGGUGCUGAUCCAGGCAGGGCCAGUGGUAUAUAAACUAAAGGCCAACAAAUGGAAGUAGUGCAUUUCGCCCUGUCCUACUGUCUCCCAACGUAUCAUUUCUGGACUGUGGGCCAAUUGAUAUCUCUCAGGAGAUCUCAUAGAAAUGAAGGUUGUGCGGCGGUAAAGCCUUUUUCUUCAAUCCAGGGCCUGGAAAAUAAAUCCUCAACUCUUCAAGCCAGUGGACU